CAAAGAAAAAAACUGUGCACCUUUGCGACUGUGCUGCGAGUCCUGAAGAAAUUGGUGGCCAUCUUCUGAAGACGACUCCUAAUUGAGUGAGAAAAUGCCUGGAUUAAUUGCUCCUUCAGAUUACUCUCAAGAACCACCUCGUCACCCAUGUCUCCGAAUCAACGCCAAGGAGCCCUUCAAUGCAGAGCCACCGCGUUCAGUCCUGAUUUCAUCUUAUGUGACCCCUGUAGAUUUCUUUUACAAGAGAAAUCAUGGUCCUAUUCCAUUAGUGGAUAAUAUUGAAAGAUAUUCUGUCUCUUUAAAUGGCCUAAUAGAAAACCCAAAGGAACUGUUUAUGAAAGAUAUCAGGAUGCUUCCGAAGUAUAAUGUCACUGCCACUUUACAGUGUGCUGGUAACCGAAGAACAGCCAUGAGCAAAACCAGAACAGUGAAGGGAGUUGGCUGGGAUGUUUCUGCUCUAGGAAAUGCUGUCUGGGGUGGUGCCAAAUUGGCCGAUGUUCUUGAACUUGUUGGUAUACCUAAGUUCAGCUACAGUACACAAAAAGGUGGAAAACAUGUUGAGUUUGUGAGCAUUGAUAGGUGCAAGGAAGAAAAUGGAGGUCCAUACAAGGCAUCAAUUCCACUAGACCAAGCUUCAAAUCCUGAAGCAGAUGUUUUGCUUGCUUACGAAAUGAAUGGAGAACCUCUUAACAGGGAUCAUGGGUAUCCAUUGCGUGUGGUUGUCCCAGGUGUUAUUGGUGCUCGCUCUGUUAAAUGGCUUGAUUCUAUAAGCAUAAUUGCAGAGGAAUGCCAGGGUUUCUUUAUGCAAAAAGACUACAAAAUGUUUCCUCCUUCCAUAAAUUGGGAUAACAUUGAUUGGUCGACAAGGAGGCCUCAAAUGGAUUUUCCUGUUCAGUGUGUCAUAUGUUCUUUGGAGGAUGUAGAUCAUAUAAAGCCCGGAAAGAAGAUACAUAUAAUAGAUCUAAGAGCCUCCAAUCAUCUGCAUUUCUUCUUCCAGGUUAAUUUGUCACAGUUAGUGGCUAUGCAGUGUCCGGAGGUGGACGUGGAAUAGAGAGAGUAGAUGUAUCCGUUGAUGGGGGCAAAACUUUUGUUGAAGCCACCAGAUAUCAGAAGAUUGGUGCCCCUUAUGUCGCUGAUAGUCCGAGCAGCCACAAAUGGGCAUGGGUGUUCUUCGAGGUCACGGUUGAUGUUCGGCAAAACACCGAAAUUGUUGCGAAAGCUGUUGAUUCAGCAGCUAACGUGCAACCGGAAAAAGUGGAAGACGUAUGGAACUUAAGAGGUAUACUGAACACGUCUUGGCAUCGAGUUCAAGUUCGAGUUGGUCGUUCGAAUAUAUAGAAGAGGUGAAGGAUAUACCCCAAAACUCAAAAAACUCUAUCUGCCCAUUUCGUCUAAAAAAUAAAAUGCUGUGCAGCAUAAACUUUUCCUUUAGCCAAACUCCACUCUGCUUGGAUUUUGAUUUUCCAUUUGAAAUGCGAAUAAGAAAAUGGAAUGUGCUUACAUUGAUGAAGAAUAUACUUCAAGUGUGCUUGUAAAUCUGUUUAGAAUUUCCAACAUGACCUUACACAA
Molecule: RNA transcript, 1569 nt
Organism: Cucurbita maxima (winter squash)
Lineage: Eukaryota; Viridiplantae; Streptophyta; Magnoliopsida; Cucurbitales; Cucurbitaceae
Gene name: sulfite oxidase-like
Exons: 13
Source: RefSeq, a predicted model, not a curated record